GCGCGCUUCCUACAAGUCCGUCACGUCACCGAUGACGCACGCUCAGGAAUCUAUAGGCCUAUCAGGACUGUCUUGACGCCUGUCAGGAUUACCUGUCACAACUAACAUGGAUUCCGUAGUGGGUCUAGACAACUCAUCUGACGCAUACUCGGAGCCUGAAACAUUUUUGAAAGUAGAAGAGUCCGACCCGAUACUGGAAGACAGUGGUGGAGGCAUUAUGCCCUACAGAUAGGCUACGAGCCGUAUCUGGAUGAGAUGGAGCGACGAGGCUCCGAAAGUUCGGAUGGCGAAGCAGAAGGCGCUGUCGGUGGUGCUGCUGUGACAGACCGCGGGAUGCCAAGAGACGUUGGCAGGCUACAGCGCGUGGAAUGGUGUUUUUGUGGGAGGUGUGCGCCGAUGCAAACAGUAAAGGACUCUGUGUGCUGCCGUGAGCAGCCCAAAGUUUGCGCCAGGAGAGAAGAGGAGCGGGACACAUUCGCUGCGUAACAGAACAUUCUGGCUUUCAGCCCGUUUGUCUGAACGAGCACGUUCUCCGCACCGCAUAUUUCCACUACCGGCAAGACUACGGGGACGUAGAGGGAACGAGUGGAAGAGAUACACUGCAUAUAGACAAUUUCUUAGAUCUAGCUAUGACUACCUGGGAAUACACGCCAAGGUCCCCUUACCUUCCUUUGUGGUGUGGUCCAUCCGGAUAACUUUUCCCUCUACAGAUUACAGGGGGUUCCAGGACAACAGCCCGUGAUGUUGCUCAUGCACAAGUGUUGAUAAAUAAAUGACAAUGAAUGUCAAUACAUGUUACCUGUAGCUUCACAUGAAUUUGUCUUCAUUUUGCAACUCACAACAGCGUACAACAAAUAGCCCUAGGGGGCGCCAAAUACAACCUCACCAGUGGCGGUUUUAGAAAGUCUGAGGUCCUAGGCAAAGAACAGUUUCGAGACCCCACGCCCCUUGGCCUAGGUGACACCAAACAUACAACUUCAGCAGUGGCGGUUUUAGGAAGUCUGAGGUCCUGGGCAAAGACCACAUUUGAGGACCCCCCCCCCACACACACACACACACACACACACCACCACCACCACCAGCAG
Molecule: long non-coding RNA, 1085 nt
Organism: Engraulis encrasicolus (European anchovy)
Lineage: Eukaryota; Metazoa; Chordata; Actinopteri; Clupeiformes; Engraulidae
Exons: 3
Source: RefSeq, a predicted model, not a curated record